RNAcentral lists this ribosomal RNA (245 nucleotides) under uncultured bacterium. RNAcentral describes it as "partial 16S ribosomal RNA". It matches the Rfam family "Bacterial small subunit ribosomal RNA", at positions 524 to 768 of the family's 1533-position model. The record is from RNAcentral.
UACAGAGACUGCAAGCGUUAUUCGGAUUCACUGGGCGUAAAGGGUGCGCAGGCGGCCGGGUGUGUCAGAUGUGAAAUCCCGAGGCUUAACCUCGGAACUGCGUCUGAAACUACCUGGCUAGAGUAUUGGAGAGGGUAACGGAAUUCACGGUGUAGCAGUGAAAUGCGUAGAUAUCGUGAGGAACACCAGAGGCGAAGGCGGUUACCUGGACAAUUACUGACGCUCAGGCACGAAAGCGUGGGGAG